RNAcentral lists this ribosomal RNA (439 nucleotides) under uncultured bacterium. Its description in RNAcentral is "bacterial SSU rRNA". It matches the Rfam family "Bacterial small subunit ribosomal RNA", at positions 958 to 1397 of the family's 1533-position model. The record is from RNAcentral.
AACGCGAAGAACCUUACCUACCCUUGACAUGUCCUGAACCCUGGUGAGAGCUGGGGGUGCCCGAAAGGGAACGGGAACACAGGUGCUGCAUGGCUGUCGUCAGCUCGUGUCGUGAGAUGUUGGGUUAAGUCCCGCAACGAGCGCAACCCUUGUCCUUAGUUGCUACAUUAAGUUGGGCACUCUAGGGAGACUGCCGGUGACAAACCGGAGGAAGGUGGGGAUGACGUCAAGUCCUCAUGGCCCUUAUGGGUAGGGCUUCACACGUCAUACAAUGGCCGGUACAGAGGGUUGCCAAAGCGCGAGCUGGAGCCAAUCCCAGAAAGCCGGUCGUAGUCCGGAUUGCAGUCUGCAACUCGACUGCAUGAAGUCGGAAUCGCUAGUAAUCGCGGAUCAGCAUGUCGCGGUGAAUACGUUCCCGGGCCUUGUACACACCGCGAGC